GGUCCCGUAGCUCAGCGGAUAGAGCAACCGCCUCCUAAGCGGUAGGUCGCGCGUUCAAGUCGCGCCGGGACCACCA
This 76-nucleotide transfer RNA is filed under the name Holophagales bacterium. RNAcentral describes it as "tRNA-Arg". It matches the Rfam family "tRNA". From Rfam's summary of the family: Transfer RNA (tRNA) molecules are approximately 80 nucleotides in length. The record is from RNAcentral. Lineage: Bacteria; Pseudomonadati; Acidobacteriota; Holophagae; Holophagales.